This 450-nucleotide ribosomal RNA is filed under the name uncultured bacterium. Its description in RNAcentral is "bacterial SSU rRNA". It matches the Rfam family "Bacterial small subunit ribosomal RNA", at positions 336 to 799 of the family's 1533-position model. The record is from RNAcentral.
CUCCUACGGGAGGCAGCAGUGGGGAAUAUUGCACAAUGGGCGCAAGCCUGAUGCAGCAACGCCGUGUGAGUGAAGAAGGUUUUCGGAUCGUAAAACUCUGUCCUAAGGGAAGAAACAAAUGACGGUACCUUAGGAGGAAGCCCCGGCUAACUACGUGCCAGCAGCCGCGGUAAUACGUAGGGGGCAAGCGUUAUCCGGAAUCACUGGGGCGUAAAGGGUGCGUAGGCGGCUUAGCAAGCCAGGGGUGAAAGGCAUUGGCUCAACCAAUGUAAGCCUUUGGAACUGUUAAGCUUGAGUGCAGGAGAGGUAAGUGGAAUUCCUAGUGUAGAGGUGAAAUUCGUAGAUAUUAGGAGGAACACCAGUGGCGAAGGCGACUUACUGGACUGUAACUGACGCUGAUGCACGAAAGCGUGGGUAGCGAACAGGAUUAGAUACCCUGGUAGCACAGAG